GAACGCACCUUGCGCCCCUUGGUCAUUCCUCGGGGCAUGCCUGUUUGAGUAUCAUGAACACCUCAACUCUCGUGGUCUUCCAUGAUGAGCUUGGACUUUGGGGGUUUGCUGGCCCUGUGGCCGGCUCCUCUCAAACGAAUCAGCUUGCCAGUGUUUGGCGGCGUCACGGGUGUGAUAACCAUCUACGCUUGCGAUCGCCUGCCAGAUAACCCUCAGCGAUGAAGGUUCAUUGGGGCUCACAAAAGUCUCUCCACGGCGAGGACGAAUUUUGAAUGUUCGAUCUCAAAUCAGGUAGGACUACCCGCUGAACUUAAG
RNAcentral lists this unclassified non-coding RNA (315 nucleotides) under Tomentella ellisii. Its description in RNAcentral is "sequence contains 5.8S rRNA gene". Lineage: Eukaryota; Fungi; Basidiomycota; Agaricomycetes; Thelephorales; Thelephoraceae. The record is from RNAcentral.